GGAAUCUUCCACAAUGGGCGCAAGCCUGAUGGAGCAACACCGCGUGAGUGAAGAAGGGUUUCGGCUCGUAAAGCUCUUUUCUGAAGGACGAAUGGUCUAUAGGAUAGGCAGAGACGGUACUUUGGGAAUAAGCCACGGCUAACUACGUGCCAGCAGCCGCGGUAAUACGUAGGUGGCAAGCGUUAUCCGGAUUUAUUGGGCGUAAAGCGAGCGCAGGCGGUUUCUUAAGUCUGAUGUGAAAGCCUUCGGCUUAACCGAAGAAGUGCAUCGGGAACUGGGAAACUUGAGUGCAGAAGAAGACAGUGGAACUCCAUGUGUAGCGGUGAAAUGCGUAGAUAUAUGGAAGAACACCAGUGGCGAAGGCGGCUGUCUGGUCUGUAACUGACGCUGAGGCUCGAAAGCAUGGGUAGCGAACA
Molecule: ribosomal RNA, 416 nt
Filed under: uncultured bacterium
Lineage: Bacteria
Description: bacterial SSU rRNA
Rfam family: Bacterial small subunit ribosomal RNA
Source: RNAcentral